GGAUUGCUAGAUGUACCCUCCAAGGUGUUGGCCUCUUUAGAGAGAAAUGGAGAGACUAUUCUCACCAAUUUUCCCAAAAUAAAAACCCUUAAUCACAUUAUGAAUAUUUGGCUAUAAAGUCCUUUAUAUAGUCCCUUUAAAUAAGUGACCUAAAGAACCAAAACCCUAAUUCAUCUAACAUGGCCGGCCUACCUAGGGAUUUUUGGGCUUUUGGGCCUUUGUGAAUCUUUAUUCAUUAAGUUGUCAUACAACUUAAGUCAAUGGGCUUGACUUUCGAAGCCCAUUGGGCCUUAAGGUCCAAAACUAUCCCGAGGUCUUUAACGAACUUAUUCGUUUGAUUAAUUAACAUAUUAAUUAAUCCUUGCCAUAAUUUAAAUGAUUAAACCAUUUAAUCAUUCUUACUCAUCUCCGUUUAAUCUUCAAUCUCCACCUUUUAUGGUGUGCGAUCCAUUAGGUUCCUUUUAGCGAGGUAGUGGGCGAUUAAAACCAUUUUACAUCGAUUGUGAAUUGAAACUAUUUUUCAAUUCUCCCUUUAGUGAUUACACACGUUUAGGGCUUCCACAAACCAUGGUUGACGCCUAGCAGCAUGUCAUGGUUACCCAAGCUAAUCAGAAGAGGUUAGAGAACCUAUUCAGUUCGGGAUUACAAAUGCAAUACAGUCUUUCUCUAAUCUAAUACUCUUGACCACAUUGUUUGGUUUGAUAGUUUAUUUGUUCAUGUCUACUAUCCAAUGUGAAUCUUGUGCUUAUAUGAUUUACUUGAAUGUGAUUUGGAACGCAUUCCCUAAUCUCAUUCAUACUCUGGCCAGAGAUUCUAAAUCAUAUCAUAGAGUAUUCUCCCUCAACUGUUUGAAGGUUAGAGAUCCCUUGUUGCGCAUUCACUUGUCUCCAUAGCUAAGUCACUUGACCCCAACGAUGCCGUGGACACCCCGAGGGGGUGACUUUAACAUAAUCAAAGAUCAAGGACUUAACCACAAGACAACUGUGAUGCCUCAGGUCAAAGGACUACUUUGCAUUAUCCCAACCAUGAGUUCUUAUGUGACAUGGAAUAUGAGAACUCUUCGUUGAUCACGUUCAGUGUACUCAUUCUCUAUUGAGCACCUACGUACUUGUCUUGAUGUCACACACACCAAUGACUCGAGACUAAUCACUCUCCCUGAGAGAAGACAUAGUACGUACCGAUCUUAACGGACUGUCAAUGCCCAAUUGACAAUCCUAUGAUCAGGAACAUUUAGGAUGUGUCUACGAAAGAAUGGUCUCAUGAAUCUAACUUCAUUAGAUUACAUUCUCCCAAUCACAUAUUCCUUGGACUUUAUCGUUUAAGCAUAUAACAUUUAUAUGAGACGGCUCAAACAAUAAUCUUUGCCCUUUAUAUGUAAAACUAGAUUAGUUUAACAUGUGAAAUGUCCGUAAAGUAUCAUCACAUGAUUGGCUUUAGGGCACAUUUCCAACAAUCUCCCACUUGCACUAGAGCCAAUCAGCUUGGUCAUCAGUAUGAUACCUCUUCUGUAGUCAUUUCAUAAAUGGCUGAGUAGUAGGCCUAGUCAAUGGAUAUCUAUAUGUUAGCCAUAGAAGCAACGUUGAGAAUAACGACGUCACCAUUAUACAUGAUUCUCAAUCAUGUGGUUCAGUCUCUCAUUUGUGUUCGGAUCUUGAUGAGACCUUGAUUCCCAGGCUUGAGCUAUCGCCCCAUUAGUGUCAAACACUUUCUGGUUGGAACCGAAUAGAGAGUUCAUAAAUGAACUUUCCCAUCCAAACAACAUUGUUGUAAACUUCUAUAUGGCAAUAUAUCUUGCAUUCAUAAUGGAACACACUAAAGUCAUUACUUUAAUGUUUCCAUCCAAAUAUCUCUUUAGUCAUAAUAAAGAGAUAUCUGUUUAUCUCUUCAUUCAUAAUGAAGAAACAUCCAAUGAUGGAUUAGAUUCAUAAUCUAAUACAUUUACGCUUCCAUUACGUUACUUUGAUUCUUCCUCGAUCUUUGAGGAAUUUAUCUUUUAGUAUUUCUUAAAUACUUAAGGACUCACUUGACAGUUGCCAUGGUUCUGAUCCUGGGCUUGCACUGAUAUCGUCUUGUACCUGUUCUAGGUACAACUCAUAUCAAUGUUUUUCAUACAAUAUGAAAUACAUAAAUCACCUUUCUGCGUAUGCAUAAAGGAUUCAAUUUACGCAUUAUUUCUAUGGGAGUCAAAGAGUACGUUCUCUUGAGAAGAGCAACUUCUUAGUCUCACUAGAGUUGUCCUCUUAAUUGAAGUUUAUCAUUAUAUGAGAAACUUCCUAGCAAAUUUUGUCUAUUAUUAAGGGUAUGAUAUAAUCCAAUUAUAUCCUAAAAUCUAUCAAUAUAGAUUUCCAUCCCAUGUAUAUAGACAAUAUCUCCCAUAUACAUUCUAUCGUUAUAGAAUGUUUAAAGUCAUAACUUUAACGAAGAAGUAUUCCUUUCAUUUCCAAAAUUAAUAUAUCAUAUAUAUUGUAAAUUUUAGGAACAUGAUUAACUCCCACUAAUCUUUUGUAAACCUAGUAAACAAAAGAUUCAUUUACAUCUUUAUAAGCAAUCAAACGAUUUGAUCUUUUUCUCAUAAGAUGCAAAUAGCUCCCACUAGCUUGCUAAGAUCCACGAUGGAUGGAUCUCUACAACUUAGUCCAAACAUUGAAUCAUCAUUUAGUUGUAGCUAGCAAUCUUCGAAUUAAUUGAAACCAAGACUAUCUCAAAGAUGGUUUCUUCAAAGUCAACCAUUCUCUUUGAUUGUAGUCACCUUUAAGCUACCAAUUAGCUUAUGAAGGUUUCAUUAUUUCGGGUCAAAUGGUAUUUUACCAUUUCUUUGAAUAUAUAUCAUAUAUACACUCAAUGUAGUCAUAAGGAUUUUCAUUCUUAUUUCUUUCGAAUUAAGAGGUGCAACUCUAUGACAUAAUCAUAAAGUUCAAACCAUUCAACUGAGACGGUUUAUAAAUCCUUCUCAACUACCUUGGAGCUUUUGGUAUAGGAACUAAGUUGUUAUUUUUGUUGAUUACUUUCUUGUCUCUCAAAGAACUCAUUCUUUGAGUUCUAUCUCUCGUUCAUUUGCUCUUAGGCAAAUCACAUUGUAGAAUUACAAUGAACUACCCAACAAAACAACAUUUGUUAGUUGGUUUAUAGAAGCGAUAUCCAAAAGUUGAUUUAAGGAUAUCCAACAAGAUUGUUAUCAAACAAAUAUUGCUUGUUAGCACACAACCCCAAAUCUUAACAUGCUUAAGAUUUGUCUUUCUUUCCAACUACAUCUUAUGGAGUUAUGAAAAUUUUGGAAGAUCUUCUAAUUGACAAUCAUAUUGUUUUAGAAGUAUAUAUCCUAUAUAUAUGGGUAAUAGAUAACAUCUAACGAACUAAAUCUUAUUCAAGUUCGUUUUUUCUCUUAAUGGAGAAAUACAUUAUCUUAUGAUGCUUCUUUCCUUGAUAUCUUUCGAGGAGAGACUCAUCUAAAGUGUUACUUUUCCUUGGAUCAAAUCUAAGGAGAUAAAUACUUUAGACGUCUUACUCAUCUAUUUACAUUUCUUGAAUUCUUUGAAACAUUUUACAAAGUAUUCGGACUUGUGCUUAUUCAAAAUAAACUAUAGUCCAACCGAGAGUGAUCUUCGGUGAAUGUCAUAUAACAUGAGUAGUAUUAUGUUGUGGACAAGUGCCACUAACAUCUAAGUGAAUUAACCUUAACAACUUUGUGAUUCUUUCUUCUUUCCAAAAGAAUAAAGAUUCGAACAUUUCACCUCUAUACAAUUUUAACAAGAAGGUAUUGGAUCCGGAUCUAACGAUCCAAAGCAUCCAUCUAUGACCAACUCGUAAUUUAUGUUUUAGAGGUAUCACAACUUUAGUUGGGAUUAGUCACUACCUUGCAACCUUUUGGGUUUUAAGCAUCAUUAUUUUCUAAACAGUUAACACUACCAUAUUAUCUCUACUAUAGAGAUAAUUAAUUAGAUUACCAUAAUCCAAUCAUUGAUUAAUAAAGAACAUUGUUUUGUCAAACAAAACAUUUAUCCAUUUCACAUAGUGACGGAAUUUAAGUUCCUUAAAAUUGGAAUGUAAAGACAAUCUAUGUUUUUUCCAAUUUCUUUGGUAGUUCAUAUGAGGAAGUAAGUACCAUCUGCUUUCACAGAGAUCUAUAUUUAGAUUCACGUUUCGAAUGUGAAGUACUUUCUCUUCUCUCAUUAAUCUUCUACUUCUUAUUAGCCACACUUUUACAAUGAUUGUAAAACAUAGUUACUAAUACAGAAUCAAGCAUUCAAGUAGAAGAACCAAAUGUUUUGAACUUUUCAAGAACAUUUUACAACACCUUCGAAAUGUGUGUUAUUGACACUUACAAGACAUUUCUUGCAAAUACCCCUUCCAAUGUCCAUCCUUUCAUAAAGAAAGUUUGUUCCCUUGGAGUUAUUUAUCUUCUUCAUUUGACUUCUCCUUUGACUACAAUAGUCAUGGUCCCUAAACUCCCACUAUCUCUCUUGAAACCUUUUUCAAUUGUGUUAUACACAUCAAACAUUUUGGAGAGCAUGUGGUUUAUUGUUCACUACAUAGUUUACAAUAAGCUUAGUGAACGAUUAGGAUAGGGAAACAAAGGUGAAGUCCUUGCCUAGUUUCCGUCUCGUUAAGUGUUUUAACACGUCAACACUUAAUGAUUCAAAAUCAUCAUAAGUCCAUGUUAAUGGACUAUUUUUGUCAACCAACCAUUAUGUUCUAAACAUAAUUACAAACCUUUCAAGAGUUGUACAAGGCAACUCUCAUUUCUUCAUACAACAAUUUGUAAAUGAAGAAUCAUGGCACAUUAAGUGUUCCAUGCCUUUGUGCUUUCUUCUCAAGUUCCUUGUUCAUGCAACAAAGAAACAAGCACUAAGUGUUUGUAUUGACUAAGAGUUGUUCAAAGCAACUCCUUAUUUCUUCAUACAACAAAUUGUAAUUGAAGAAUUAUGACAUUUUAAAAGUGUUGUCCUCUUUAUGAUAGACCUUUUCUAACAUAUUCUUCUAAUGAUACAUUAUCAAUAGUAAGAUUGUGAGGAUGAGACUACUUAGAUACAUAUGCAAUCCUUUUAAGACAUUCUUUGGGAUUGUGGUUACCUAAGUACGGAAACUAAAACAUUCGGUUUUUAUUUGUCAAGUGUUUGGAUAGCGUUUGCAAAUAUAUUGGUAAACAAAUACAUAACGAAUAUAAAUUGAUUGAUUUUAAGCCAUUUGAUUCGGGUCUUUAAAUCAAAAUAGCACCACCCACUAUUUUUUUGGCAAAUUCCAUAUCCCUCAUCGGAAUUCGAGAGUUUUGGAUGAAACUCUUAGUAGGUUAUGGGAGACUCACUAUUACCAAGCCCACCUCAGAAUGAUACUCCAUAUUGGCUAGCAACAAUAAUAAUGAGAGAGUACGCAUUACUCAUUUGCAACUAAUGCAAGUACCCAUCUCGUUUGGCCUCUAGAGAAUGAUGCCUCAGAAUGAACUCCAUAUUGGCACCAUUGCACUUAGUUAAGUCAUUCCCACCAUGCUAGUUCAAGUAGGGUUUCAAGAAUAGCCUCAGAAUGAACUCCAUAUUGGCCAUCACUCGUUGCCUACCUUUCACUUCAUCAUAUGUUUAUAGGCUUCUCCUGAAUGUAAGCACAUACUUUGCAACCCCCAGAACUGGACGAAUACAUUGUACGAGUCACAAACGAUUGAAGCCCACCACGGUGGAAGGCCACGAAAGAGAGUGUUCUAAGCACUCUCACGCUUAUCAACUUAAUAAUGGUUUGGUUGAGGGUUUUAGGUCUCAUCACAUAUCAAUAUACAUUUUAAUCUCUAUUAAAACAAUUUUGGUCCUAUUACAACUAUUGGUCCAUAUGAUUGUUUUAGUUGUACAUAUAAUACUCCCACUAUGCUUUUAAAACGGUUUUUAAAGCAAGAGUAUAUGUUACUACUAACAUAAGGUUUGCAUUCAUUUGAUGGACUAUAUAGUUGCCUUAGGGCCUUAGGAUGACUAUGAACCUUUGUUUAGAUUCAACACGAGCCUUGUGUUGAAUCUCGGUCUAGGGAUGGAGAUUGAUUUUAGUUACGCGUUUAAUCACAUUAAGGCGUGUGUUGUCAUAGGGGCGUUGGACCCAAUUACUUCAUUUUCAUGCAUAUCAUAUAAAGCAAGAAAGAAAUACUUCAAAGUAAAAGUGAGCUUAUGCUCAUUACAACAUUUGAACAAUUCAAAUUACAACCAAAAAUCUUAAUCUACACAUUCCCAUGGUUCAAACAAAUUUGAAACGGCCUUUCACAUAGCUCAAUUAUUAUAGGCUUAGGUUCAUAAUCAUCCCUUUAAUUAAUUAACAUUUUAACUAAUUAAAUUGAAUGCAACAUUUUCAUUUGGAUUUUGUAUCCAUAAAAUUGAUUUAAAUGGAGCUAAACAAAAUGAAAAUCCAAUUCUCAUUUAAAGAGACAAAACAAUUUUGUUCUCAUCCUAUUUGGGCCAUCAUGCAAUAACCACAACUUUUUUGGGCCAUAUUGCGAAAACAUAAACUUUUGGGGUCACUUUGUAAAAACACAAAAGUCACUACUUCAUGUAAAUUACAACUAGAACCCAAAAUUUAAAUAAACUCAAAAACUUCAUUAAAGGAGCAAAAACAAUUUGUCCUUUAGCGUUUUUAGGCCUUAACGUCAAAACGUAAACUUUCGGGUCAAAGUACAAAUACACAAAAGUAUCAAAAUUUUAUGUAAUUGCAUAAAAGCCCCAAAAAUACCCUAUUUUAAUAGGGUGGCCGGCCAUUUAGGGAAAAGGUGAUGUGGUGGUGUUUGUUGAUUUUGAGUUUUGUCAAAAACAUUCAAGUGGUGCAUAAGAAAAGAAAUUUCUUCACCUUUUCUUUUACCUUUCAUAAUGAUGAUAUAUAUUUCUUUUGCUAUUUAAUCAAAUAUCUAAUAUUUUAAAUAUAUGAUAAAUCAUUUGAAAAACAUAUAACAUAAACUUUAUGAAAUAAUCAAAACUUUGAAUCAAAACACAAAACCUUUUAGUUCUUGGCAAGAACAUCAAGAACAAUGAAGAACAUCUAUGAAAACCCAUAAGAGCUCCAUGAAUGUUUUCAAGCCAUAAAACUCAAAUUUUCACCAUUCAAAAUGAUGUUAACAUCCUAGGGUACUUAGGGGUUACAAAAGUCACCUUAAAACACUUUUAACAAGACAAACAUGAACCCAAAAAAUCACCCUUUGGAUUUGGCCGAAAAUCCCCAAAAUCAUGGCACCAAAUUUUAGCUCCAAUAUUCAUCCUCAUAUGAACUACAUCUACAACAUUUGAGAUGGCAAAUUUUCAAACAAAAUUUACAUUCAAAGAAGCAAGAAUAAAGCUUGUAACAAUUACAACUUUUAAAUCAUAAACUUAUGAACUACAAAACCCAAAAGGAUUCACCAACUACUAGACCUAGGCUCUGAUACCACUUGAAGGAAUUAUUUUGAAAAACAUGUUCAUUUGAGCAACAUCAUAUAGCAUGCAAUUAACAAUUAAAGGCGGAAUCAUGCUUGUAUGCACCCAAAAACAAAACAUUACCAUGAAAUUCAAAGCCUAGUAGAUUGGUGAACCAAUAAUCAACUCAAAACAAAGUGAGUUGAAAUUUUUACCUUUGUGGAUUCCUCUUUGCAUAAGCAAAGGCUAAUCACCCAAAGAGAUAGGGCCUUCAUUCCUUGCUUCUUAGAUCCAUGGAUUUGGAUGGAAAAAUAGGUCUCUAAGUUCCCAAAAUUGAGAACCUCUAAGUCUCUUCACCAAGGUUAGAUGUAGAAGAAAUGAGUGACCUUGGAGUAGUAGGAUUGCUAGAUGUACCCUCCAAGGUGUUGGCCUCUUUAGAGAGAAAUGGAGAGACUAUUCUCACCAAUUUUCCCAAAAUAAAAACCCUUAAUCACAUUAUGAAUAUUUGGCUAUAAAGUCCUUUAUAUAGUCCCUUCAAAUAAGUGACCUAAAGAACCAAAACCCUAAUUCAUCUAACAUGGCCGGCCUACCUAGGGAUUUUUGGGCUUUUGGGCCUUUGUGAAUCUUUAUUCAUUAAGUUGUCAUACAACUUAAGUCAAUGGGCUUGACUUUCAAAGCCCAUUGGGCCUUAAGGUCCAAAACUAUCCCGAGGUCUUU
RNAcentral lists this long non-coding RNA (8066 nucleotides) under Malus domestica (apple). RNAcentral's name for it is "long non-coding RNA (MDOM_LNC008464)". The record is from RNAcentral. Lineage: Eukaryota; Viridiplantae; Streptophyta; Magnoliopsida; Rosales; Rosaceae.